RNAcentral lists this non-coding RNA (21 nucleotides) under Caenorhabditis elegans. The record is from RNAcentral. Lineage: Eukaryota; Metazoa; Nematoda; Chromadorea; Rhabditida; Rhabditidae.
UUUAAUCUUUUUUUUAACAAA